GAUGAACGCUGGCGGCGUGCCUAAUACAUGCAAGUCGAGCGAACAGAUGAGGAGCUUGCUCCUCUGACGUUAGCGGCGGACGGGUGAGUAACACGUGGAUAACCUACCUAUAAGACUGGGAUAACUUCGGGAAACCGGAGCUAAUACCGGAUAAUAUAUUGAACCGCAUGGUUCAAUAGUGGAUGACGGUUUUGCUGUCACUUAUAGAUGGAUCCGCGCCGCAUUAGCUAGUUGGUAAGGUAACGGCUUACCAAGGCAACGAUGCGUAGCCGACCUGAGAGGGUGAUCGGCCACACUGGAACUGAGACACGGUCCAGACUCCUACGGGAGGCAGCAGUAGGGAAUCUUCCGCAAUGGGCGAAAGCCUGACGGAGCAACGCCGCGUGAGUGAUGAAGGUCUUCGGAUCGUAAAACUCUGUUAUUAGGGAAGAACAAAUGUGUAAGUAACUAUGCACGUCUUGACGGUACCUAAUCAGAAAGCCACGGCUAACUACGUG
Molecule: ribosomal RNA, 497 nt
Filed under: uncultured bacterium
Lineage: Bacteria
Description: partial 16S ribosomal RNA
Rfam family: Bacterial small subunit ribosomal RNA
Source: RNAcentral